Oncorhynchus tshawytscha (Chinook salmon) is the source of this 550-nucleotide long non-coding RNA. Lineage: Eukaryota; Metazoa; Chordata; Actinopteri; Salmoniformes; Salmonidae. The record is from Ensembl.
GUGGGAGAGAGGGAGAGAUGGGGAGAGAGAGGGAGUGGGAGAUAGGGAGAGAUGGGGAGAGAGAGGGAGUGGGAGAGAGAGGGAGUGAGAGAUGGGGAGAGGGAGGGAGUGGGAGAGAGGGAGAGAUGGGGAGAUAGAGGGAGUGGGAGAGAGGGAGAGAUGGGGAGAGAGAGGGAGGGGAGAGAGGGAAGAGAUGGGGAGAGAGAGGGAGUAGGAGAAAAUGAGAGAUGGGGAGAGAGAGGGAGUGGGAGAAAAGGAGAGAUGGGGAGAGAGAGGGAGUGGGAGAAAAUGAGAGAUGGGGAGAGAGAGGGAGUGGGAGAAAGUGAGAGAUGGGGAGAGAGAGGGAGGGGAGAAAAGGGAGAGAUGGGGAUAGAGAGGGAGUGGGAGAAAAUGAGAGAUGGGGAGAGAGAGGGAGUGGGAGAGAGGGAGAGAUGGGGAUAGAGAGGGAAUGGGAGAAAGUGAGAGAUGUGGAGAGAGAGGGAGUGGGAGAAAGUGAGAGAUGGGGAGAGAGAGGGAGUGGGAGAAAGUGAGAGAUUGGGAGAGAGAGGGA